Long non-coding RNA from Dalotia coriaria, 816 nucleotides. RefSeq lists it as uncharacterized. The record is from RefSeq and is a predicted model, not a curated record. The transcript is spliced from 2 exons. Lineage: Eukaryota; Metazoa; Arthropoda; Insecta; Coleoptera; Staphylinidae.
CGCGCUUUGUUCAAACAGUGCGCCAAUAACGACAGCCCGACACUGGCAUGAGAACGACAUGAACAGCAUAACCGUGAGGCGGGUACGACAUUGCAUGAAUUUACAAAUACAAAUUGCAAAUACAAGCACGAAAUUCAUUAAACAAGUUGGACGUUGAACGGUGAACAUCAACAAUCCAAACUAAUUCAACACAAGGUAAUAGUUGGUGUAUAGAAACUCUUCAAUUGGCCUUGAGUCCCGAAGAGUACGAAUGUAAACAUGAUGGUCGAAUUUAAGGAUUCCCAGCAUGUAUCCACGUACGUUUGGAGUUUUCAAAACCGUGGGCCGUGCGCGUCACAGUGUGUUUAUGCAUGUGUGUAUUCGCGAACGGAACUCAAGCGCACCGCAACGAAAGAGAAGAAAAUGCCUCCCCGAGGAACUCUGAAAUAGAUGAAGGGUUGGAACAUAUUUUCGAGCAUUUUGGGAAUAGCCUCGGCUUGGCGCGUCGUGACGCAGAUAAAGAUAUCUAUAUAUGUACUGCCUUGGAAAUGCUCGCAUCAUAGGGAUAUUGAAAAAUACUGUGUUUACCCAAGGUGAGGUGCUUUCAGGAGAUACCUGUAUUCACCGCAAAAUAAAAUAAUAAAAAAUACUUUAAAUUUAAUAAAGAAACACGGUGAUAUGCUGUAAUGCAGCAUAAACAUUUUAGAGGUAAUUUUUUUUUGUUGAUUUUUUUAAAUAUUAUUUACACACAAUUUUUAUUGUUAUUUUAUUAUUUAAAGUAAUGGUAUUUGCACCAAAACUGAAACAUUUGAUCUUAAUUACACCCAUUGCAAAUCG